Molecule: long non-coding RNA, 884 nt
Filed under: Numida meleagris (helmeted guineafowl)
Lineage: Eukaryota; Metazoa; Chordata; Aves; Galliformes; Numididae
Description: lncRNA (ENSNMEG00000000937.1)
Source: RNAcentral
GGGGAACGGCAGCGAGCGGCGGGGGAUGGUGGCGAGCGGCGGCAGCAGGGAAAUGGCGGGGAAUGGCAGGGGAGCGGCGGGGGACAGCGGGGGACAGCGGCAAGUGGCAGGGGAUGGCAGCGAGCGGCGGGGAAUGACAGAGAACCACGGGGGACGGCAGCAAGUGGGGCGGAUGGCAUUGAGCAGCGGGGAACAAUGAGGGACGACGGGGAACGGCAGCAAGAGGGGGCAAGUGGCGGCAGCGGGGGAACGGCAGGGGACGGCGGUGAGCGGCGGGGGACAACACGGCACAGCGGCGAGCGGCGGUGAACAGUGGGGGACGACGGGGGACGGCGUCGAGCGGCAGGGAACGACGGGAGACGGCGGCAAGGAGGGGCGAGUGGUGGCAGCGGAAGAACAGCAGGCGAUGGGGAAUGGCAGCGGACGGCGGCGAGCGGCGGGGGACAGCGAAGAGCGGCGGGGGAUGGCGGAGAGCGGCGGGGGACGCCGGCAGAUGACGGGGGAACGGCAGGGGACAACGGGGGACAGCGUCGAGCGGGAACGACGGGGAACAGCGGCAAGGGGAGGAACAGCAGGAGAUGGGGAAUGGCAGCGGACGGCGUCGAGCGGCGGGGACAGCGUCGAGCGGCGGGGGACGGCGGAGAGCGGUGGGGCACGCCAGCAGAUGACGGGGGAACAGCAGGGGACAACGGGGGAUGGCAGCUGGAGGGGGCAAGCGUUGGCAGCGGGGGAAACGGCGGGGGAUGGCGGGGAAUGGCGGCAAGCAGCGGGGGACUGCAGGGAACGGCGGGGGAUGAUGGGGGACAGCGGCAAGCAGCGGGGAACAACGGGGGACGACGGGGGAUGGCAUCAAGCGGCGGGGAACAACGAGGGACGACAGGGGA